UUGUCACACUCUAUUCUGUUACUCGCUGUGAUCCCGGACCUUUUAGCCACCGACGGAUCUCUGUCUCCCGCUGACUUGAACUGAGGGCGUAACCCAGACAAGUUUACUUUGACCUCAGGAUGCUACCCAGGCAGGCCUGAUAUUUCUCAUGCUCCGGAACACAUCCAGCCGAGCACCCUUAUAACGCCUCUGGUUAGAGCCCGAUGGAGAUCAACCCAUCGAGUCAACUAACAAGUGUACACAAUUCUCAAACAACGUAUUAGGUCAUAAGAGAACCUCAAUUGAUUAACUGCGCGAGCCUUAAACAUGGUAGAGUGCACAAAAAUAUUUAUUGGAUAAACAGUUUGUAUUUCAUGAAACAUUUAAGCUCAUUAGCUCAAUCAUACAUUUGGAAAAUAAGCCCACCUGUAUAGGCAAUGCCUGUCGUUUAACGUUAUCUCUGAAUUGGAAUAGCAGUGCUAAUCCUCCUGAUGCUCAAAGCCUACAAGAAAUCUAUUCUCAAUAGGUCUCCUUGAAUCUAAUCUUAUGUCAUGGUGACGUGCUUAAUAUUCUAUGAUUCACUUAGCCGGGUUUUCAAAAUUUAAUAAAUAAAUAAUUGAAAACUAAAAUUCUUGAGUUAAGAACACCAACAAUAUUCUUACUCGUCUUUCUUUGGUAAUUGGAAUUAUGAAUAAAACCAAUUAAAUUGUAAAUACUUUUAUUGCAAAAUAAAUGCAAUUUCAUGCCAUGCUUAGCAUAUAAUAAGUAAUUACUUAUAAUAUGCACAUAAUAAUAAUUUAAUAUUAUUAUGAAAACUAGUCAUUGAAUAAAUUAAUUAAACUAAUUAAUAGUUCAAUUAAUUAAAAUAGGGCAGCCCAAUUAAUUUAAUUAAUCAAGGCAGCCCAAAGUUUUAAAAUAAAACUGACCCAAAUGAUAUUUAAAUAAGGCCCAGCUGUUUUAAUAAAGUAAAGGCCCAACUGAAAAAUUAAACAAAAACAUUGGCCCAAGUAAUUGAAAUAAAUCGGCCCACACUCUCAAGCCCAAAUUCUCAAGCCCACACCCAAACCCCCCUCCCUUCUUCUCCCCCAUCAGCCGCACACAACGCACACACACACACAACUCAUCCCUCUCUCUCAAUUCUCGACUGCUCGNCGGAGCUAUCACGACUAAUAUUUCUAAGGCAUCAUUGGGUAGUCCUCAAACGAUUUGUAAGAGGACUCAUCAUUCAGAUCGUAUAGGCAGUGGACCUAAAACGAUAACAUAAAACUUUUCAUUCAUUCAAUCAUUUGUUUCUUUCGAAACCUUAAAACAUUUGGACAGUAAAUGUCCCUUUCAAUGAAAAUUUUCUUAAGUCGGAAAGAUUAAUGGAAUCUAACUCGACCAUAAAUUCAUUGAUCGUUAAGGGCUCGGGUAGUCCCAAACACGACAUACAUACAUACAUACAUUGGUUAUAUGAGUCAAAGGCUCAAAAUAACAAUAUGAAAGCGUUAAGCAAUUCAUAUGACAUCAUUCAUUGAAAGCGCGCACUUCUUAAAAACUUUGAAAGCAUUUAAAAUCAUUGAAACUUUUAAGUCGUACCUUUUUGUUGCGGCAGUGUGACGGCGAGCUGAGGGUCAACAAAUUUCUUAGAAGCCUAGGGGUACUAUUCUAGACUUGACAUCAAAAAAGCUUAUGGUUAUCAGAGACAUGAAAGAAAACAUAUGCUCUGAUACCACUCUGUCACACCCCAAUUCUGAUGAAUAAAUAUAAUCGAGGUGCGACUAAAAUCAUAAAAAUAAACAAGGAACAACCUUGUUAAAGCCCGAAUAAAAUAACAAGUCGGGCUAGUCCCUUUUGGAUCACAAGUUUAGUGUCAUGCUUCAGAUAACCAACAUUCACUGAUUGAAAUAACUUCAGGAUCACAAGUUUAGUGUCAUGCUUCAGAUAACCAACAUUCACUGAUCGAAAUACUUAUAGGUCUUAAUUAAGGAACAAAAGACAGAUACUGGCUAUUUCUACAGCGGAAGUCAAAUAAAGAGUUGAACUCUAGCCUCAGCUCUGCCCUGUCAUCACCCGCCAUUAACCUAAAACAUUUGAAAGUAUUUUUGGGCUAAGUACUAAUGUACUUAGUGGGCUAAAACUUUAAAACAUUUCAUAAGACUGAAGAACAGUUUAUCCUAAUCUUACUGACAUGACAUAGAAGGUUUUCUAAAGAGAAAUAACUUCUAUGCAUGUUAAAACAUUUCAUAUAUAUAUAUAUACUUAAUUAUUUUGCGCGCGUUUGCACACUCCAUUCUGUUACUCGCUGUGAUCCCGGACCUUUUAGCCACCGACGGAUCUCUGUCUCCCGCUGACUUGGACUGAGGGCGUAACCCAGCCAAGUUUACUUUGACCUCGGGAUGCUACCCAGGCAGGCCUCUUAUUUCUCAUGCUCCGGAACACAUCCAGCCGAGCACCCUUAUAACGCCUCUGGUUAGAGCCCGAUGGAGAUCAACCCACCGAGUCAACUAACAAGUG
Molecule: long non-coding RNA, 2475 nt
Filed under: Salvia miltiorrhiza (redroot sage)
Lineage: Eukaryota; Viridiplantae; Streptophyta; Magnoliopsida; Lamiales; Lamiaceae
Description: long non-coding RNA (SMIL_LNC007323)
Source: RNAcentral